GAGGGUACAGCUCAGUGGAAGAGCACAUGCAUAGCAUGCAUGAGGUCUUGGGUUCAAUCCCCAGUACCUCCA
Molecule: transfer RNA, 72 nt
Filed under: Camelus bactrianus (Bactrian camel)
Lineage: Eukaryota; Metazoa; Chordata; Mammalia; Artiodactyla; Camelidae
Also listed under: 2 other names
Rfam family: tRNA
About the family: Transfer RNA (tRNA) molecules are approximately 80 nucleotides in length. Their secondary structure includes four short double-helical elements and three loops (D, anti-codon, and T loops).
Source: Rfam by way of RNAcentral